Molecule: long non-coding RNA, 1461 nt
Filed under: Phasianus colchicus (ring-necked pheasant)
Lineage: Eukaryota; Metazoa; Chordata; Aves; Galliformes; Phasianidae
Description: lncRNA (ENSPCLG00000004083.1)
Source: RNAcentral
UUUUUUUUGGAGUCAAGUCUCACGGAGACUGAUGGAAAAUUCAGAGAGAUGUAGUGGACAUAAAGAAUUACAGGGCUAUGGCUGAUAAAAUCCUACACAAGGUAUAGGAGUAGAUGGGCCAGUGCUUGAAGGGACUUUGGUAUGGGGAUCUCUUCUCAUUUAGAAAAAACAAAAGUUCUGUGUGUUAUACUUAAAAUCCAGUGUGAAAAUGAUUAUUUUUAGACUCUCCUUAUCUCUCUAGUCUUAACCAAUAAUUAAGGAAGGAAAGUUUAUUAAAUAUAGAAGGACUAGGGGAAAUUAUGAGCAAGCUUGAAAAAUGUAAGUUGUUAAGAGUUUUUUCCUGUCCUGAAGGGUACUGGUAUUGCAUGGCAUGAAGGCUAUAAUAAAUGCAGAACAGUUGGACUAUAUGGAAACUAGGUGCGUUUCCUGAAGGAGAGGAAGUAAUGCACGUGUCACUGUUCCUUUUGCUCCUGUUUUUAUAUGAUUUUCAUCACUGAGAAAAGAGUUAUCUAGUUUUCCUUGAACUGAUGAAAAGGUUUUUUUCCUUUCUUCCUCUGUUAUUCUGUGAAAUGUCUGUGCUAAACCUAUAUUGAUUGAUACUCUGGAAAUUACCUCAUUAUGUUCUAUUGUUCUGGAUUUGAACAUGUUAAUCUACAAUGACUUUUCCAACAGUUGUAGAGCUAACUUAGUGACUGCAAUUUGACCAGGUGUUGGUGGUUGGGGGGGGAAAGAUUUUGUCCUCUGUUAAGUAAGACUCAGUAAUGUUUCCUUUGCCAUAAUUUAUCUGUUGUGCAUGCUAUGUGAACAGUUUAAAAGUUAUAAUUGCUUUAGGAAGAAGCUUGAAUAGAAGCAUAAUAGUAUAUAACAUUACAUAAUUUCAUUCAGUAAGGGUGAAACUUUUAGAAUGUACAAUGCAUGCCCGGAUUGGUAAAUUAGAGAGAUGACUAUAUAUUAAUUUUAAUCUAAACAGGAAUUUUAGGAAGCUUUGUUUUUGGGUGCACUGGAAAGAACUGUAGGAAAUUGAUUUUAUUAUUGAAGUGCCAUCUCUUCUGUAUUUAUUUUCUUACUUUAAACUGUCAUAUUGCUGCUAUUCCACUCCCAGCAGCUACUGUGUCAUGUUAAAUAAUGGCAAAUUGGUGUUUUUUACAAUAAUCCACUAGAGGACAGAGAUGGUAUUCCAUUCUUAAAUGUUACAUAGUUGCUAAAUAGUAGUAUAUUGCUUCAGCAGUUUUUCAGUGGACCUUUUUUGCCCUAUCAGAAAAAGUGUGGAGGAAACCUGCAGUAGCUAGAAAGAAGGAAUCAUAUUAAUUGAUCAUAUAUAUGUGUGUGUGUGUGUAUAUAUAUGUGUGUAUACAUAUAUACAUACGCACACAACACACACUCUCAGAGAUAUUUUAAAAGUAAUUGGCAUCUUGGUAUCAUACUUAAAUAAGCUUUCUUGUUAAACAAACAAACAAAUUA